UGUAAGACUGGGAUAACUCCGGGAAACCGGGGCUAAUACCGGAUGGUUGUUUGAACCGCAUGGUUCAAACAUAAAAGGUGGCUUCGGCUACCACUUACAGAUGGACCCGCGGCGCAUUAGCUAGUUGGUGAGGUAAUGGCUCACCAAGGCAACGAUGCGUAGCCGACCUGAGAGGGUGAUCGGCCACACUGGGACUGAGACACGGCCCAGACUCCUACGGGAGGCAGCAGUAGGGAAUCUUCCGCAAUGGACGAAAGUCUGACGGAGCAACGCCGCGUGAGUGAUGAAGGUUUUCGGAUCGUAAAGCUCUGUUGUUAGGGAAGAACAAGUACCGUUCGAAUAGGGCGGUACCUUGACGGUACCUAACCAGAAAGCCACGGCUAACUACGUGCCAGCAGCCGCGGUAAUACGUAGGUGGCAAGCGUUGUCCGGAAUUAUUGGGCGUAAAGGGCUCGCAGGCGGUUUCUUAAGUCUGAUGUGAAAGCCCCCGGCUCAACCGGGGAGGGUCAUUGGAAACUGGGGAACUUGAGUGCAGAAGAGGAGAGUGGAAUUCCACGUGUAGCGGUGAAAUGCGUAGAGAUGUGGAGGAACACCAGUGGCGAAGGCGACUCUCUGGUCUGUAACUGACGCUGAGGAGCGAAAGCGUGGGGAGCGAACAGGAUUAGAUACCCUGGUAGUCCACGCCGUAAACGAUGAGUGCUAAGUGUUAGGGGUUUCCGC
This 720-nucleotide ribosomal RNA is filed under the name Bacillus tequilensis. Its description in RNAcentral is "bacterial SSU rRNA". It matches the Rfam family "Bacterial small subunit ribosomal RNA", at positions 131 to 836 of the family's 1533-position model. The record is from RNAcentral. Lineage: Bacteria; Bacillati; Bacillota; Bacilli; Caryophanales; Bacillaceae.